Non-coding RNA from Vicia faba (fava bean), 237 nucleotides. NCBI's taxonomy places the organism in Eukaryota, Viridiplantae, Streptophyta, Magnoliopsida, Fabales, Fabaceae. The record is from the annotation of a GenBank genome assembly.
AUGUUGCCAUUAAUAAAGCAUUGCCAAAGGAUCGAAGUUGCCCUUUCCAAAGAGAAUUUCCCAUCAACAAAGAAGGUUUAUUCCCAUCAAUCUUUAACAAAGAGUCUUGAAAGAAAAGGAGCAUGGAAAUUGGAAACCAUUAACACAAACACACCAUCCAUUUUCUCCACUACCCCAAGUUUUCUCAAGAAAUAUUCCAUAUGGGGUAGAGGAGUAAAAGCUAUGUUACAUGUUUGA